This 330-nucleotide ribosomal RNA is filed under the name uncultured eukaryote. RNAcentral's name for it is "partial 18S ribosomal RNA". It matches the Rfam family "Eukaryotic small subunit ribosomal RNA", at positions 1470 to 1796 of the family's 1831-position model. The record is from RNAcentral.
CCCUUAGAUGUUCGGGGCCGCACGCGCGCUACACUGAAGGAAUCAGCACGUCUUUCUCCUUGUCCGAAAGGACUGGGUAACCCGCUGAACCUCCUUCGUGCUAGGGAUUGGGGCUUGUAAUUCUUCCCCAUGAACGAGGAAUUCCCAGUAAGCGCGAGUCAUAAGCUCGCGUUGAUUACGUCCCUGCCCUUUGUACACACCGCCCGUCGCUACUACCGAUUGGAUGGUUUAGUGAGAUCCUCGGAUUGGUCCCGGCGCGGCCUCUGGUCGUGCCGGAGUGCCGAAAAGAAUGUCGAACUUGAUCAUCUAGAGGAAGUAAAAGUCAUAACA